RNAcentral lists this ribosomal RNA (238 nucleotides) under uncultured bacterium. RNAcentral's name for it is "partial 16S ribosomal RNA". It matches the Rfam family "Bacterial small subunit ribosomal RNA", at positions 100 to 334 of the family's 1533-position model. The record is from RNAcentral.
CGGGACGGGUGAGUAACGCGUGAGGAACCUGCCUCAAAGAGGGGGACAACAGUUGGAAACGACUGCUAAUACCGCAUAAGCCCACGGCUCGGCAUCGAGCAGAGGGAAAAGGAGCGAUCCGCUUUGAGAUGGCCUCGCGUCCGAUUAGCUAGUUGGUGAGGUAACGGCCCACCAAGGCGACGAUCGGUAGCCGGACUGAGAGGUUGAACGGCCACAUUGGGACUGAGACACGGCCCAG